GAUGGACGGUUAACGGAGCGUAAGCGACGUUCAACAUCAAAAAUCAGGCAGUGGAGCGUUUUGGGGUGGGGUGACUGCGUACCUUUUGUAUAAUGGGUCAGCGACUUAUAUUCUGUAGCAAGGUUAACCGUAUAGGGGAGCCGCAGGGAAACCGAGUCUUAACUGGGCGUUAAGUUGCAGGGUAUAGACCCGAAACCCGGUGAUCUAGCCAUGGGCAGGUUGAAGGUUGGGUAACACUAACUGGAGGACCGAACCGACUAAUGUUGAAAAAUUAGCGGAUGACUUGUGGCUGGGGGUGAAAGGCCAAUCAAACCGGGAGAUAGCUGGUUCUCCCCGAAAGCUAUUUAGGUAGCGCCUCGUGAAUUCAUCUUCGGGGGUAGAGCACUGUUUCGGCUAGGGGGUCAUCCCGACUUACCAACCCGAUGCAAACUACGAAUACCGAAGAAUGUUAUCACGGGAGACACACGGCGGGUGCUAACGUCCGUCGUGAAGAGGGAAACAACCCAGACCGCCAGCUAAGGUCCCAAAGUCAUGGUUAAGUGGGAAACGAUGUGGGAAGGCCCAGACAGCCAGGAUGUUGGCUUAGAAGCAGCCAUCAUUUAAAGAAAGCGUAAUAGCUCACUGGUCGAGUCGGCCUGCGCGGAAGAUGUAACGGGGCUAAACCAUGCACCGAAGCUGCGGCAGCGACACUAUGUGUUGUUGGGUAGGGGAGCGUUCUGUAAGCCGUUGAAGGUGGCCUGUGAGGGUUGCUGGAGGUAUCAGAAGUGCGAAUGCUGACAUAAGUAACGAUAAUGCGGGUGAAAAACCCGCACGCCGGAAGACCAAGGGUUCCUGUCCAACGUUAAUCGGGGCAGGGUGAGUCGACCCCUAAGGCGAGGCCGAAAGGCGUAGUCGAUGGGAAACAGGUUAAUAUUCCUGUACUUGGUGUUACUGCGAAGGGGGGACGGAGAAGGCUAUGUUGGCCGGGCGACGGUUGUCCCGGUUUAAGCAUGUAGGCGGAUGUUCCAGGUAAAUCCGGAACGUCACUAACGCUGAGGUGUGAUGACGAGGCACUACGGUGCUGAAGUGACAAAUGCCCUGCUUCCAGGAAAAGCCUCUAAGCAUCAGGUAACAUCAAAUCGUACCCCAAACCGACACAGGUGGUCAGGUAGAGAAUACCAAGGCGCUUGAGAGAACUCGGGUGAAGGAACUAGGCAAAAUGGUGCCGUAACUUCGGGAGAAGGCACGCUGAUGGUAGGUGAAGUGACUUGCUCAUGGAGCUGAAAUCAGUCGAAGAUACCAGCUGGCUGCAACUGUUUAUUAAAAACACAGCACUGUGCAAACACGAAAGUGGACGUAUACGGUGUGACGCCUGCCCGGUGCCGGAAGGUUAAUUGAUGGGGUUAUCCUCACGGAGAAGCUCUUGAUCGAAGCCCCGGUAAACGGCGGCCGUAACUAUAACGGUCCUAAGGUAGCGAAAUUCCUUGUCGGGUAAGUUCCGACCUGCACGAAUGGCGUAAUGAUGGCCAGGCUGUCUCCACCCGAGACUCAGUGAAAUUGAACUCGCUGUGAAGAUGCAGUGUACCCGCGGCAAGACGGAAAGACCCCGUGAACCUUUACUAUAGCUUGACACUGAACACUGGUCCUUGAUGUGUAGGAUAGGUGGGAGGCUUUGAAGUGUGGACGCCAGUCUGCAUGGAGCCAUCCUUGAAAUACCACCCUUUAAUGGCUGGUGUUCUAACGUGGGCCCGUAAUCCGGGUUGCGGACAGUGUCUGGUGGGUAGUUUGACUGGGGCGGUCUCCUCCUAAAGAGUAACGGAGGAGCACGAAGGUCAGCUAAUCCUGGUCGGACAUCAGGAGGUUAGUGCAAUGGCAUAAGCUGGCUUGACUGCGAGCGUGACGGCGCGAGCAGGUGCGAAAGCAGGUCAUAGUGAUCCGGUGGUUCUGAAUGGAAGGGCCAUCGCUCAACGGAUAAAAGGUACUCCGGGGAUAACAGGCUGAUACCGCCCAAGAGUUCAUAUCGACGGCGGUGUUUGGCACCUCGAUGUCGGCUCAUCACAUCCUGGGGCUGAAGUAGGUCCCAAGGGUAUGGCUGUUCGCCAUUUAAAGUGGUACGCGAGCUGGGUUUAGAACGUCGUGAGACAGUUCGGUCCCUAUCUGCCGUGGGCGCUGGAGAAUUGAGGGGGGCUGCUCCUAGUACGAGAGGACCGGAGUGGACGCAUCACUGGUGUUCGGGUUGUCAUGCCAAUGGCAUUGCCCGGUAGCUAAAUGCGGAAGAGAUAAGUGCUGAAAGCAUCUAAGCACGAAACUUGCCCCGAGAUGAGUUCUCCCUGACCCUUUAAGGGUCCUGAAGGAACGUUGAAGACGACGACGUUGAUAGGCCGGGUGUGUAAGCGCAGCGAUGCGUUGAGCUAACCGGUACUAAUGAACCGUGAGGCUUAACCUU
RNAcentral lists this ribosomal RNA (2425 nucleotides) under Klebsiella oxytoca. RNAcentral's name for it is "bacterial LSU rRNA". It matches the Rfam family "Bacterial large subunit ribosomal RNA". The record is from RNAcentral. Lineage: Bacteria; Pseudomonadati; Pseudomonadota; Gammaproteobacteria; Enterobacterales; Enterobacteriaceae.